RNAcentral lists this unclassified non-coding RNA (352 nucleotides) under soil metagenome. Its description in RNAcentral is "partial contains 5.8S ribosomal RNA, internal transcribed spacer 2, and large subunit ribosomal RNA". The stretch from base 1 to 120 matches the Rfam family "5.8S ribosomal RNA", at positions 35 to 154 of the family's 154-position model. The record is from RNAcentral.
GAUGAAGAACGCAGCGAAAUGCGAUAAGUAGUGUGAAUUGCAGAAUUCAGUGAAUCAUCGAAUCUUUGAACGCACAUUGCGCCCGCCAGUAUUCUGGCGGGCAUGCCUGUUCGAGCGUCAUUACAACCCUCAGGCCCCCGGGCCUGGCGUUGGGGAUCGGCGGAAGCCCCCUGUGGGCACACGCCGUCCCUCAAAUACAGUGGCGGUCCCGCCGCAGCUUCCAUUGCGUAGUAGCUAACACCUCGCAACUGGAGAGCGGCGCGGCCAUGCCGUAAAACACCCAACUUCUGAAUGUUGACCUCGAAUCAGGUAGGAAUACCCGCUGAACUUAAGCAUAUCAAUAAGCGGAGGA